This 431-nucleotide ribosomal RNA is filed under the name Lactobacillus delbrueckii subsp. bulgaricus. RNAcentral's name for it is "bacterial SSU rRNA". It matches the Rfam family "Bacterial small subunit ribosomal RNA", at positions 1 to 408 of the family's 1533-position model. Lineage: Bacteria; Bacillati; Bacillota; Bacilli; Lactobacillales; Lactobacillaceae. The record is from RNAcentral.
CAAAUUGAGAGUUUGAUCCUGGCUCAGGACGAACGCUGGCGGCGUGCCUAAUACAUGCAAGUCGAGCGAGCUGAAUUCAAAGAUUCCUUGGGAUGAUUUGUUGGAUGCUAGCGGCGGAUGGGUGAGUAACACGUGGGCAAUCUGCCCUAAAGACUGGGAUACCACUUGGAAACAGGUGCUAAUACCGGAUAACAACAUGAAUCGCAUGAUUCAAGUUUGAAAGGCGGCGUAAGCUGUCACUUUAGGAUGAGCCCGCGGCGCAUUUAGCUAGUUGGUGGGGUAAAGGCCUACCAAGGCGAUGAUGCGUAGCCGAGUUGAGAGACUGAUCGGCCACAUUGGGACUGAGACACGGCCCAAACUCCUACGGGAGGCAGCAGUAGGGAAUCUUCCACAAUGGACGCAAGUCUGAUGGAGCAACGCCGCGUGAGUGA